Molecule: microRNA precursor, 102 nt
Filed under: Marmota monax (woodchuck)
Lineage: Eukaryota; Metazoa; Chordata; Mammalia; Rodentia; Sciuridae
Source: RNAcentral
AGUGGAAAUGCAAGAUCAUAUGGUAAGUCUAUAUUUAGCUUUUUGAGAUGCCACCAGACUGUUUUCCAGAGCAGCAGCACCAUUUUCCUUUCUACCAACAAU